This 1200-nucleotide ribosomal RNA is filed under the name metagenome. RNAcentral's name for it is "bacterial SSU rRNA". It matches the Rfam family "Bacterial small subunit ribosomal RNA", at positions 286 to 1498 of the family's 1533-position model. The record is from RNAcentral.
GGGGGUCUGAGAGGAUGGUCCCCCACACUGGUACUGAGACACGGACCAGACUCCUACGGGAGGCAGCAGUGAGGAAUAUUGGGCAAUGGACGCAAGUCUGACCCAGCCAUGCCGCGUGCAGGAUGACUGCCCUAUGGGUUGUAAACUGCUUUUAUUUGGGAAGAAACCCCUGCUCGUGAGCAGGGCUGACGGUACCAAAAGAAUAAGCAUCGGCUAACUCCGUGCCAGCAGCCGCGGUAAUACGGAGGAUGCAAGCGUUAUCCGGAUUUAUUGGGUUUAAAGGGUGCGCAGGCGGGAGAUUAAGUCAGUGGUGAAAUCCUGCAGCUUAACUGUAGAAUUGCCAUUGAUACUGAUUUUCUUGAGUGCAGUUGAGGUGGGCGGAAUGUGUAAUGUAGCGGUGAAAUGCUUAGAUAUUACACAGAACACCGAUUGCGUAGGCAGCUCACUAAACUGUUACUGACGCUCAGGCACGAAAGCGUGGGGAGCGAACAGGAUUAGGUACCCUGGUAGUCCACGCCGUAAACUAUGAUCACUCGUUGUUGGCAAUAAACCGUCAGCGACUAAGCUAAAGCAAUAAGUGAUCCACCUGGGGAGUACGGUCGCAAGAUUGAAACUCAAAGGAAUUGACGGGGGCCCGCACAAGCGGAGGAACAUGUGGUUUAAUUCGAUGAUACGCGAGGAACCUUACCUGGGCUUAAAUGCAGAACGAUUUCCGCCGAAAGGUGGUUUCCUUCGGGCGUUUUGCAAGGUGCUGCAUGGUUGUCGUCAGCUCGUGCCGUGAGGUGUCGGGUUAAGUCCCAUAACGAGCGCAACCCUCAUCGUUAGUUGCCAUCGGGUAAUGCCGGGGACUCUAACGAAACUGCCGGUGUAAACCGUGAGGAAGGUGGGGAUGACGUCAAAUCAGCACGGCCCUUAUGUCCAGGGCUACACACGUGUUACAAUGGCCAGUACAAAGGGCAGCUACCUGGUGACAGGAUGCUAAUCUCUAAAACUGGUCUCAGUUCGGAUCGAAGUCUGCAACUCGACUUCGUGAAGGUGGAUUCGCUAGUAAUCGCGCAUCAGCAACGGCGUGGUGAAUACGUUCCCGGGCCUUGUACACACCGCCCGUCAAGCCAUGGAAGCUGGGGGUGCCUGAAGUUCGUAACCGUAAGGAGCGACCUAGGGUAAAACUAGCGACUGGGGCUAAGUCGUAACAAGGUA